UUUAACACUGGAAGAGAACUCAAACUACAAAUUCACACAAUCUACAAAUCUGAUUGGAGCAGGAGACUUUCUGUGUGGGCGUGACUAAGUGAUACAGGGGUGACUGGGCCGGAGGGAUGAAGGGAAUCUCCUGUUAGUGCAGUGCCGGAGUCUGAGGGGAACAUGGAGAGAGCGAGAGAUGAGAAGAACAUCAAACAUCAGAUUAACAUCUCCAAUACAGUGUUUCUGCUUAUCACUGUCCUCCAGGCCGGUUCCGGCGAUGCCGCUGCCCUCCAAGCCGUACAGUGGAUCUGGUCUGCCGCUCACCCG
Molecule: long non-coding RNA, 309 nt
Organism: Ictalurus furcatus (blue catfish)
Lineage: Eukaryota; Metazoa; Chordata; Actinopteri; Siluriformes; Ictaluridae
Exons: 3
Source: RefSeq, a predicted model, not a curated record